GGGAUUCGACCUUGAAUCCUCUUCUUGCAAAAUCAAAGAAGGACAAACAAGUAAAACAUCCUCAUGUCAUGAGGGUUAGGAUUACCAAAAUACACACAUUACAUGCCAUGCGAAGGUGGGACAAACUUGGAGUAUACCUACGAGUCCUUUGUGUUAAACAUGAAAACCUUAGUAUAAAUGGUACAAAGGAAGAGGUCAUCAUCAACAAAAAGAGACAAGGAAGAACCUUGCCUUUCUUCAUUACCACCCACAAUCAAAUAUUGCUUGUCGUCUUGACCAAGCAUCAAGUGGGAAAUGUAGAAAUUCCUACAUUCCAGGAAGGUGUCGGGGUUAAAUGAGAGAAUUAUCCAAGGGUCUAAGCCUAGGUUAACCCUUCUUCCCCUAGAAUGUCACUCCCACAACUACACAUGACAUUUUUCUUUAAGAGAAGACUAACAUUAAAGAAUAGAGAGACAUGGCCUAGAAGUCCUACCUUAAAAAGACAUAUGCCAUCAGUUAUAACAUUUCCAUACACAUGAUCUCUAUGAACAAAACUACUAACAAGUAUUUUACCACACACGAUGUUUAAAGAGUCACGUGCACCAUCAAGAUCAACUCUAUAAACACCAUCACUAACUUGAGAUUUUUUAAGCAAGCCACACAUAUGCUCAAGUAGAGGAAUACAUUUAUGAGUAAGUUGAUCUUCAUUCACAUCCUCACUAGUUGUUGGCAACUCACAUACCAAAGUAGACUCACCUUGGUUCGCACAAGGAUCAACUAGUGUGUGAUUACUCUUGUCAAUUGGUAAUAGAACCUUGUUCAAGUUAUAAGGGCUAGCACUAGAUGAAAAUAAAUCAUCCUUACAAGAAGAAUCAAUUUUGUCAUCUAAAGGAUCAACUAGUGCUUGUAUACUUACAACAAGAGUUUGGUCCUCACGUAACCUAACAUUACCAAGAGUAUCACCAUAGGGAGACUCAAACAUCUCUACUCUAGAUAAAUUCGCAACUACAUCCAAUUGGCCACUACUAGCCAUAACACAAUAUUCUAAGUUCAUAGGAGUGUAGGAAAUAGUAGGGAAUAGUGUUUUUACCUCAUAGCUCAUAUGAGCUAUGGCCUUUCUCUUGACUUGUGUCCGGGAAACCUACUUGCUCCCUUUGACCUACCAUCGAUCCAAUCUUUCAUUUGCCAUAGAUAGGUCUCGGGACAUAGUGUCAAGGUAGGCCAAAAUGACAUUGGUGGAAUUGUUAUCCAUGGGUUGAGAGGUGGAAGCCGCGGGUUACCUUGU
RNAcentral lists this long non-coding RNA (1264 nucleotides) under Capsicum annuum. RNAcentral's name for it is "long non-coding RNA (CANN_LNC007755)". Lineage: Eukaryota; Viridiplantae; Streptophyta; Magnoliopsida; Solanales; Solanaceae. The record is from RNAcentral.